AUAAGGACACGUGGGAACUUAGAAGAUUAGAACGAAAACGAGGCCUAAUUUUUUAUUUUUUUUUGGUGUAGGUAUGUAUAGUGGCAUCAAUGUUGUUUGAAGACGAAGACAGAGAGGGCAACGCUAACCGUGUCGAAAAGCAUAGCAACGUUGAGCACUUAUCCAACAUAUCAUUGUCAUAGGAACAAAUCAAACUAUGCAAAAUCCGAAUUGUUUCAUCUUCUUCAGACAAUCUAGGACAACAUGUCUGUCACCUUCGAAUUUGGACCUUUCUUGCGGUAGCAGUGUUGGUGUCUCUGCGACUUUGUCCGAGACCACCCACAAUAACGUAAUCGCGGACAAAAAUACAAAGAUUUGCAAGUUCUGCGAAAUGGGUGAUCUAAGAAACGCCAUGGAAUUGCUCUCAUGGUGUUAGGGACAAAGGCUAAGCUACACUAUGCUAACUACACUAACAUAUAUUUGAUAAUUCUUCUCUGCCUUCUUCUCAUUCAUUGCUUGAUGUUUAUAGGCUUACAUUGCUAUUGGUACUUAACAAACUAUAACAAUUCUGUUGUAACAGAAUUGAGGGAGCACUAUGGCUGUCCCCUAACAGAAUGGUGAGCACAAAUGCUGUCCCCUCUUAUGCAUAGUCAUUCAGCUCUGUACUCAGCGUAAGUCUUUGGAAGAUGGAAAGAGGGUUCAUUCCAUUAUCACUUCCGAUGGCAUGGCAAUUGAUGAGGUUUUGGGGGCAAAACUAGUCUUUAUGUAUGUGAAUUGUGGUGAUUUGAUUAAAGGGAGACGAAUAUUUGAUGGGAUCCUCAAUGAUAAGGUUUUCCUCUGGAAUCUUUUGAUGUCUGAAUAUGCAAAGAUUGGUAAUUACAGGGAAACUGUGGGUCUUUUUGAGAAAUUGCAGAAGUUGGGAGUUAGAGGGGAUUCUUAUACAUUUACUUGUAUCUUGAAGUGUUUUGCUGCAUUGGCAAAGGUGAUGGAGUGUAAAAGGGUUCAUGGGUAUGUUUUAAAACUGGGUUUUGGUUCUUAUAAUGCUGUUGUUAACUCUCUAAUUGCAGCUUAUUUUAAAUGUGGUGAAGCUGAGAGUGCACGCAUUUUGUUUGAUGAAUUGAGUGACAGAGAUGUUGUUUCCUGGAAUUCCAUGAUUAGUGGGUGUGUUAUGAAUGGGUUUUCCAGAAAUGGACUUGAGUUUUCAUCCAGAUGCUAAAUUUGGGGGUCGAUGUGGAUUCGGUCACCGUGGUUAACGUUCUUGUGACUUGUGCAAAUGUUGGCAACCUUACAUUGGGUAGAAUUCUUCAUGCUUAUGGAGUGAAAGUUGGUUUUAGUGGGGAUGCCAUGUUUAACAACACCUUACUAGACAUGUAUUCUAAAUGUGGUAAAUUAAAUGGUGCAAAUGAAGUUUUUGUGAAGAUGGGUGAAACAACUAUAGUUUCUUGGACUUCAAUCAUAGCUGCUCAUGUUCGAGAAGGUCUACAUGAUGAGGCUCUUAGAUUAUUUGACAAAAUGCAAAGCAAAGGUCUUAGCCCAGAUAUUUAUGCUGUCACAAGCGUUGUUCAUGCUUGUGCUUGUAGCAACUCCUUGGAUAAAGGAAGGGAGGUACACAAUUACAUUAAAAAGAACAACAUGGGAUCAAGUUUGCCUGUCUCUAAUCUCUCAUGAAUAUGUAUGCAAAAUGUGGAAGCAUGGAAGAAGCUAAUUUAAUUUUCUCUCAACUUCAACUCAAGAGCAUUGUCUCAUGGAAUACGAUGAUUGGAGGUUAUUCACAAAACUCACUUCCCAAUGAAACUCUAGAGCUGUUUCUGGACAUGCAGAAACAAUCGAAGCCUGAUGACAUUACAAUGGCUUGUGUCCUUCCAGCUUGUGCAGGCUUAGCAGCUCUGGAGAAAGGCAGAGAGAUACAUGGGCACAUAUUGAGAAAAGGGUACUUUUCAGAUUUACAUGUAGCCUGUGCACUUGUUGAUAUGUACGUGAAAUGUGGGUUUCUUGCACAGCAACUGUUUGAUAUGAUUCCUAAUAAGGAUAUGAUUGUGGACUGUUAUGAUAGCUGGAUAUGGCAUGCAUGGGUUUGGAAAGGAAGCAAUUUCCACAUUUGAUAAGAUUAGGAUUGCAGGUAUUGAGCCUGAAGAGUCCUCCUUCACUUCCAUCCUUUAUGCUUGCACUCAUUCUGAAUUUCUGAGAGAGGGAUGGAAAUUCUUUGAUUCCACGAGAAGCGAAUGCAACAUCGAGCCCAAGUUAGAACACUAUGCGUAUAUGGUGGAUCUCCUUAUCCGCUCUGGAAAUCUAUCCAGGACGUACAAGUUCAUUGAAACAAUGCCAAUUAAACCAGAUGCUGCAAUUUGGGGUGCCUUGCUUUCUGGGUGCAGGAUACAUCAUGAUGUGGAGCUAGCAGAAAAAGUGCCAGAGCAUAUUUUUGAGCUUGAGCCAGAGAAGACAAGGUAUUAUGUUCUUCUAGCGAAUGUCUAUGCAAAGGCCAAAAAGUGGGAAGAAGUGAAAAAGUUACAAAGAAGGAUAAGUAAGUGUGGAUUGAAAAAGGAUCAAGGCUGUAGUUGGAUAGAGGUCCAAGGAAAGUUUAAUAACUUUGUUGCUGGGGAUACUUCACACCCCCAGGCCAAAAGGAUAGACUCAUUGCUGAGAAAAUUGAGAAUGAAAAUGAAUAGGGAAGGUUACUCUAAUAAGAUGAGGUAUUCAUUGAUUAGUGCAGAUGAUAGGCAGAAGUGCUUCUAUGUGGACACAGUGAGAAGUUACCCAUGGCCUUUGGAAUAUUAAAUUUGCCUCCAGGGGAGGACUGUUAGAGUAACCAAGAAUCUAAGAGUAUGUGGGGAUUGUCAUGAGAUGGGGAAGUUCAUGUCCAAGACAACCGGGAGGGAAAUUUUGUUGCGAGAUUCAAACCGGUUUCACCAUUUCAAGGAUGGUUUAUGUUCUUGCAGAGGUUUCUGGUAAAUCAUCGGAAAAAUUCAAUAGAGGGGAAGUUCUCCCAUGUCAGUGUAUCAUUCUUCUCUUCGUAAGAAUUGAUAAUUGCGUAUUUCAUAAUCACAGUUCUCUUAUUGAUGUAGGACGCAUUAUAGAUUAGGAUACAAAGUCAUGGCCAAAAAAGUGUAUGUAGAAGUGAUAGCCAUAGUGUCUGUAGAAUCAGUGAUUGAGGCUACCGUUUUUGUAGUUACGUCAGAGGCAACUUUAUGUCCUAACUUCGUCUGUGAAGUGAUGUUAUUCAUGGAUGACUUAUCUAAACAUCUAUAUUUGGAUUGGAAAAACAUUGCAGCAGAGAUCUGUAAAUGGGGUUCAGAUGUAACAUUUUUUUCUCUGAAAUAGAUUAGUGGCAUAAUGUUAUUUAUGAUUUGUGACUCUGA
Glycine soja is the source of this 3335-nucleotide RNA transcript. It is a transcript of the gene named pentatricopeptide repeat-containing protein DOT4, chloroplastic-like, with no coding region annotated. The record is from RefSeq and is a predicted model, not a curated record. NCBI's taxonomy places the organism in Eukaryota, Viridiplantae, Streptophyta, Magnoliopsida, Fabales, Fabaceae. The transcript has 2 exons.